Molecule: unclassified non-coding RNA, 488 nt
Filed under: Hevea brasiliensis (rubber tree)
Lineage: Eukaryota; Viridiplantae; Streptophyta; Magnoliopsida; Malpighiales; Euphorbiaceae
Source: RNAcentral
GGCAGCAAUAGUAGUUUUAUUGAUCAGAAAUUGACUGAGGAAUUAAAGCUGGAUUUAGUUCAAACACCUGCAACUGCUAUUGCUCUGACUGAUGGAAGAAGUCUGAGUUGCAAUCAUCAUUGUCAGCAUUUCAGUUAGAAAAUGCAAUCUCAUAAAGUUCAAUUUGAUUUUAGAAUAUUGGAAUUGGGAAGCUUUGAUAUGAUUCUAGGAGUGGAUUGGUUACGAAGCUUUAAUCCAAUAUUGUUUGAUUUUAAGGCUUCUAGAAUUUCUUUUAGGGGAAAAGUGUUGUAGAAUGUAGGGAAGGCAGAGACAGAACCUAUUUUAUGUUCUAUUGAGAAUUUAUUUUAAAGGAAAGGGAUGGAUUUCAAGUAUCCAUUGCUAGACAAUUCAAAAACAGCAGUUGCUUCAUCUUCUAAAUGUAAACCAGCAUCCGCAGAUAGAGGAAGUAAUGCAGCAUGGGAAGCUUAAAAUUUUAUUUAGGAAUUUUA